UCCAUGGUUUGCAGGCUGGGGACCCCUGCA
This 30-nucleotide non-coding RNA is filed under the name Homo sapiens (human). Lineage: Eukaryota; Metazoa; Chordata; Mammalia; Primates; Hominidae. The record is from RNAcentral.